AAAUGGGGAAAAACUUGGUUGCUGCUUCUUGUCUUCCAGAGCUGGUGUCUCCUUGGUUACUGGCCUAUGUGCCUAUAAGAAGCUGCCACAGAGUGCUGAAGGACAAAUAUGGGGAGUUUUCUCCUCCAGCAUUCCAUGCUGAUUUCCCUGUAAGCUUUUGGUGCAACUGGACCAUCUGGGCAGGCUCCAGGAAGCACAUCAUCAUUUAUAUCCAGGGAUUUAUCACUAAGGAUGCUUGCAACAAAAAUGAGGACAAAAUUCUGUUUGAAGGAGUCUCCUCCCUGGUGGAAAACAGUGUUGUUUAUGCCUGCUGGAAAAAGGAGAUGCGUGUUUUUGCCACCUUUGCUCAGGCUGUCCAUGUUGUGCUGCUGAAGAGGUACUUGCCAAACCAGAGAGAUGCAGGAUUUAAAGGGAAGUACUACAUCUUUGAAGACCAGCAAGGUGCCUCUUCCUCCAAAGAUGGUGCAAUUUCUGGAAAUUCUGCUCCAAAACUGCCAAAGAAAGGUGGUGAUUUUCAGUCUGGCUGGGUUGAAAACCUUAGGGGUGCACUGGGCUUUGCAGUCACACGUGGCAGCAGCACCGUGCUGAGCACUGAGCAGAUGCAGGGAAGAGGGAUCACUGUGGACACCACGGCUGUGGGAAGUCCUACAGAACUUCUCCCACGUGAACGUGCAAGAACACAGGCUCUGGAAACAAAAGCUCCUUCUGGGCUGGGGUCUGAGCUGCUGGAGGCUCCAGGCAUAGGAACACCUGAGGGAAUAAUCUCCACUGCAGCUCAGGACAUGUGGGGACAGAACCCCUCCAUGAGUGAAGGCAGUGCUGUGAGUUCUGCUCCCGUGCACAGUGUGCCUUUGGAAACUCCUGUGCUUGGUGCCUUCCAGGGAGCAGAACCUUUUUGGCAGCCAGCAGGGGUGAGUCUGGAGAGCAGCCAGGCUAUCCUGAGCCCUACCCUGAGGCCAGAAGGUCUGGGCCACCUGCAGCUUACCAUUAAACCAACAGGCACGGGUCACCUGGCCCUGGCUGCACACUCUGAGCCUCUGUCCCCUGGCACAGGACAAAGCCAGCAGGGCACAGGUCCCAGCAGGGACAGCCAGCUCAGCACAGCCAGCCUGGAGAAGGAAGGAAGUCCUGCCCUGCUGAGUGUCCCAGAUGAUGGCCUCACCAAGGGCCUGAUGCCCAGCCUGAGGAGCCCCUCUGAUGUGGUCACCAGGGAUCACUUGCAGCUGCUUCCUGAGAGAAGCCAAAGCAGUUUGGGGCGUUUGUCCAUGCCUAAACCUGAGCUAGGCACAACUGGCCUCCAGCAUACCAAGCUCAUGGAUAUUUUCUCACUGGGAAGUUUUGGGGGAGCUGUCAGGAGGAGAACAGCACUGCAUCCCACAGCACCAGGGCUGGCUGUACCUGCUUUGGCAACAGGGCUGGAGCAUCCUCUGACACCUGUGGCUGCCCUGGGGACAGAAACCAUCCCUGUGCCGGUGACCUCCUCCACAGUGCCUGUCCCUGCAGGCUUUGGCUCUCUGGAUUUAGUUCCUGAAGCACCUCUUCCUCCACAAGUGGAAUCUCUGCCCAUGGUGCCCUCUCUCCCAGCUCCUCUGGACUGGGACACCAUCAGUCUCAAGCAAAGGAACAUCUCCCCAGCCAGCCCAGGAGGACAGGAGAUGGUCUCCCCUUCACCACCUUGCCAUCCAUCUGCAGCCUCUGAACUGGGCACAGAUGGGUCCUCCAGAUGCCUUGGCCCUGGGAAGAAAAAGCAAAACUUGGUGCUGGGACAGGGAGGUGAAACCACAGCCUCUGUGGGCCUGAUGGCCAGGAUUCCCUCCCCAGUCUUUGUCACUGUCCCAGGGCCUGCUGUGAGGCUUGCUCAGCCUGAGGGCCAUGCCACCAGAGGCUCUGGGGUGACACCAGCUUCCCUGUCAGACACCAGGGAGGUGCCUGUGCAGCAUCAGGACAGUGCUGCCAGUGACAAACCAGCUUCUGUCUCCAGAUCCAGGGAGUUUGAAAUGCAGGGAAGCCCAGAAGGUGUGCAGGUGGGUGCAGGGCAGAGGACAGCCGCCUCCUUCAGCACCACUCCUGCACACCCUGAUCUGUCUGCAGCUCCACGGGAAGAAACACUGCCCAGAGACCAAAAGCCUUGGGAGCCUUCUGGUGUAGCCAGGAAUACCCAGAUGGCAAAAGGACAGCAAGGGAAAUAUGCUGAUGUGUCAGAGCUGGGCCCUCCCUGGGUAACUGAGUACUUUCCCAUCAGGAGCUGCCACCGCGUCCUCUGGGAUGGCUCUGGCCUGUUCCGCCUCCCGCUGCACAUGGACAUUAAAGCCAACAUCUGGUGCAACUGGACCAUCUGGGCAGGGCCCCAGAAGCACAUUGUUAUCUAUGUCCAAGGGUUCCAGGGGAGUGAUGGCUGUGGCAACAACCAGGACAGGAUCAUCUUCCAGGGGGUCUCGUCAAACGUGGAAACCAAAGUGGUGUUUGCCUGCCACAACCGAGGCACUCUGGUCUUUGCUGCACAAGCCACUGAGGUGCAGGUGUUGUUUCUGUCAGGGAGUGGUUCCAGAAGCCAUGAAUACAGGUAUUUUAGAGGACAGUACUAUGUAUUCAGAGACUCUGAAACUGUGGGCUCUUCAAGUGAUACCAAAGCAGCUCCCCAGGAGCCUGCCCAGGAGACCUCUAAAAAUGAGAGCUGGAGGACAGAGGAGACCAAAGGUUUGCUGUCCAUGCUGACAGCUCCUCCAGGCCCACCAGCUGCACCUGCUGGUGGCAGGAUCCAGCCUGGUGUUGUGAGCCCAGAAGAGGUGGGCCAACAUUCUCCUGAUCUCAUGGAAGAUGGCCAGUCUGGUGCCAACCAGAGUGAGCGUGGUCAGGAUGAAACCAGGCUGGAAAAGAACCUUAAGGACAGAGGAAGCAAGGGCAGAGAAACUGAAUGUGACAUGUUGGUGAAACCAGCUCCAGGGCAGGACACUGGGGGCAAAGCUGAGCCACCUGCCUUGGAGCUGUCCCCUGGAAGAGCUCUGGUCACCGUGGUCCCAUGUGACCCAGCUGGCUCUCCUUGCUCAGAGAAGCCCAGCAGCAGUGUAGGUGUCUCUGCCAGUGGCAGCCCCUCAGAAGUGCCAGCUGCUGCACAUCACACACAGACACCAGAGCUGGCAGAGCCACUGCUGAGCACCAGCACAAAAACACCUCUCUACCCCUCUCCUGGUGCGACUGCUGCUGAUGUGGUGCCUCUGGGAGGAAGGACUGAAGAAAUCUUAGAUCUGAUGUCAUCUGUGGGGAACGACACAGGACUGCAGUCCCAGCACCAUCCUGGAGAUGUGCUCUUUGAAGUCACUGCUGAAAUCAAACCCAAGGACUGGAUUCCUCAUGGUGGAAGUGAGGUCCAAAAGGGUCUCCUUGAAUCUCUGAAGGAUCAUAUCCAGAAGAACCUGAAGCUUUCUGCCAGUAGAGUCAGUGAAAUAAAACUAAAGGAUGCCAAAAGGACGAGUGAUGCCAACCUGCUGCUCACCUUCUGGCUGCACCUGGAGCCAGAGGACAGGAAUGUGUCUCUGCUCCUGCGCUCCCACCUGGAGGAGCUGCUUGGCACCUCGGUGGGCAUGGAGAAGCUGCAGCUUGUUUCACUCUUCAUAGAAGAUGUGAACGAGUGCCAGGCUGGGCUCGGCCUCUGCGGGGAGGAGGCGGAGUGCUUCAAUGGCGUGGGCACCUACCUGUGCCGCUGCAAGCAGGGCUACGAGGACCAUUCUCCCACCAAGUCGGGCACGCUCUGCAUCCGCGCUCCCCGGACAGGGAUCAGCAUCUUCCUCCGCCACGCUGACAUGCUGGUGGGGGCAGCCCUGGUGGCUGGCCUGGUGCUGCUGGUGGCCUUUGGUGGCCUCUGCGUCACGGCCCUGUGCGGACAGGCCCCCAGGAGGAGCCCAAGGCCCGAGGAGCCAGCGGUGAGGGCUGUGGAGGAGCCAGCCAUGGAGCUGCACAGCCUGGGGCAGUGCCUGCAGCUCGACCCCUUGCAGCUGAAGCUGCGGGCCAGGGCCCCCGAGUGGCUCUGGAAUGUCCGUGUCCCCCCUGGCCAGGCGGGACAGGGACAGCAAUUCCCAGAGCAGCCUCCCCCACUCUGAGGGGAGCCUCAGUGACCUGUGCAGGUACUCCUGCAUUUCCCCAGGUUUCUGCCACAACCCCUGGCUGUGCCAACCCUUCUGCUGUGUUUUAUGGACCAUGAAUAUCCCACAACAGUGUUCCUCAUGUUGUAAUUUAAUAUUUUUAAUGCUUGCUCAGCUAGGGGAACAAAAUGUUUGCUUCACGUGGCUGUACGUCUGCUGAUUUACUUUACUUGAGAUCUGCACAGGAAAAUUAAAAUCUUUAUUUUCUUUUAAAGAAAAAUGGAAGUAAGAUGUUUUGG
Molecule: long non-coding RNA, 4378 nt
Organism: Zonotrichia albicollis (white-throated sparrow)
Lineage: Eukaryota; Metazoa; Chordata; Aves; Passeriformes; Passerellidae
Source: Ensembl